AGAAUGAACGCUAGCGAUAUGCUUAACACAUGCAAGUUGAACGUUGUUUUCGAAUCAGAAUGAGAACAAAGUAGCGAACGGGUGCGUAACACGUGGGAAUCUGCCGAACAGUUUGGGCCAAAUCCCGAAUGAAUAAAAGCUAAAAAGCGCUGUUUGAUGAGCCCACGUAGUAUUAGGUAGUUGGUUAGGUAAAAGCUGACCAAGCCUACGAUGCUUAGCUGGUCUUUUUCGGAUGAUCAGCCACACUGGGACUGAGACACGGCCCCAGACUCCUACGGGAGGCAGCAGUGGGGAAUCUUGGACAAUGGGCGAAAGCCUGAUCCGGCAAUAUGGCGUGAGUGAAGAAGGGCAACGCAGCUUGUAAAGCUCUUUCAUCGAGUGUGCGAUUGUGACAAGACUCGAAUAAGAGCCCCGGCUAACUCCGUGCCAGCAGCCGC
This 437-nucleotide ribosomal RNA is filed under the name uncultured bacterium. Its description in RNAcentral is "SSU rRNA". It matches the Rfam family "Bacterial small subunit ribosomal RNA", at positions 26 to 518 of the family's 1533-position model. The record is from RNAcentral.